GUUAGCAUGUACGCGUGCAUUUUUGUUAACAGACCAAAUCAUGCUUAGUAACUUGGACUGUGACGUAAUCAUUCUGCGACAUAACCCAUGCGACCAAAACUCCUGACUUCCUGGUUUCCUAAACUCUGACGUCGUGGUGGACCCUGUACCCGCUUCCGUUGCCGCGGGGGUCGUGCCCCUUGUCUUGACCUUUGCCCUGGGCGUGGCUGGUGUAGUGGCGGAUGAACCGGGAGCGCCGCACGAGCAGGUGGAGCAGGAAGCACAGCAUUUCCAUCCCGAUGGAGAUGAGGAAGAAGAUGAGCGUGUUCCUGCGCUCGUCUGGGAUCAGCAGCUUGGUGAAGAUGCGGGACAAGGAGAUGAUGACGCCUGCCGUGCCUGGAAACGUGGUGAAGAUCUGAGAGUGUGUAUGCAGUCACAAAGUAUCUUACCAGUCUCCGACAACGCCAGGACGCCUCUCUCCGGGACGUCUUUGCUGAUCUCCUCCUCCUCCAGCUGGGUCAGUGACCGCCUCACAGCAUCGGGUCCCCCUGGUGUUCUGCACAGCUCUAAUGAGAUUGUUGUAGCAACAGGAGAUGACACUAUUAAGAAAACAUCUCCUGCUGCAUGGCUGACAUGUUCCACACUGACAAGAUAAAAGAAAAUGCAAUGAAGAUGAAGAUGGAUGUUUAAAGGUCAGACAUAUUCAAGAGCCCCCUCCUCUUCGGGUUCUUUCCAUUCCUCCAUGGACCCAUCUUCCAUCCCUGUCACCUCUUCUCUCGAAUGUCCGAAUGCUUCUCUCCACCUCCAUCAGCUUCAAAGAGCUGUCUCUGUGGCAGACCUCCAGGGCACCUGCCUCUUUGAGCGGAAUCAAAUCAUCCAUCUCAAACUGCUUUUCUAUGUGUGUGUGCGUGUGUGUGUAUGGACUGCUGUGAAGUGCAUUAAGUCCCAAGGCAAAGCUACAGCAAACAAGCCAAACAAAAGCAAUGAACAAGCGAGUGAAUCUGGAUAAAGUGAUGAUGUUGCUGCUAACCAAUAUUACUAAUAAUUAUUAUA
Entelurus aequoreus (snake pipefish) is the source of this 1032-nucleotide long non-coding RNA. RefSeq lists it as uncharacterized. Lineage: Eukaryota; Metazoa; Chordata; Actinopteri; Syngnathiformes; Syngnathidae. The transcript is spliced from 4 exons. The record is from RefSeq and is a predicted model, not a curated record.